GAACCCAUACCAAAUUGAUCACUAGGAUUGGACUGGGUUUGAGUGUGGGAGAAUGAUUGCUCUGACAAAGAUAAAUCAGAAUACGAUGGAGGAGGCUGAUAUGGAUAUGGAUUUGAGUAUUCCCAUUGAAAAUUUCCUCUAUAUCCAUAAUCACUAGUAGAGGUUGCUUCCAUUGAAGAUUCACUUGUACCAUAAGUUCCAUAUCCAUAAUUAUCUGUAUCCAUAGAACACUCUCCAUGUGCAACACCUUUUCCCUUAUCACUGCUACCAUCAGAACCACGGGAUCUGUGAUAUGUAUGUUGCAAAGUUGGAGCUGGAGAUGGAGAUGGAGAUGGACUAUGCCUCUGAUAUGAAGAGGGAUCAUCAUGUGAUUGUAAUGAACUAGUAGCUCCAUGACCUUCACCUCUUCCACCCUGACCACUAC
RNAcentral lists this long non-coding RNA (424 nucleotides) under Manihot esculenta (cassava). Its description in RNAcentral is "long non-coding RNA (MESC_LNC008703)". The record is from RNAcentral. Lineage: Eukaryota; Viridiplantae; Streptophyta; Magnoliopsida; Malpighiales; Euphorbiaceae.